CGGUAGCUCAGCUGGUUAGAGUGCCUGCCUGUCACGCAGGAUGUCGAGGGUUCAAAUCCCUUCCG
Molecule: transfer RNA, 65 nt
Filed under: marine eukaryotic metagenome
Rfam family: tRNA
About the family: Transfer RNA (tRNA) molecules are approximately 80 nucleotides in length. Their secondary structure includes four short double-helical elements and three loops (D, anti-codon, and T loops).
Source: RNAcentral